Molecule: long non-coding RNA, 969 nt
Filed under: Homo sapiens (human)
Lineage: Eukaryota; Metazoa; Chordata; Mammalia; Primates; Hominidae
Description: HSALNT0309288
Source: RNAcentral
GGGAUUACAAGCACCCACCACCAGGCCCAGCUAAUUUUGGUCUGUUUAGUAGAAAUGGGGUUUCACCGUGUUGGUCAGGCUGGUCUCGAACUCCUGACCUCAAGUGAUCCUCCCACCUCAGCCUCCCAAAGUGCUGGGAUUACAGGCAUGAGCCACCGUGCCCAGCUAACAAUUCUCUUAAAAGAGCUACCAUCAAAAAAUCUGAAAAAAGCACUAUUUAAAAAAAAAAAUCACAGACCUGAACAUAAUGAAAUAUAACAAAUGAAUCACUCUGAAUGGUACACUCCCACAAAAAUGCCAUGCCUGGGAGUUUGAAAGAAAAGCCAACCACCUGGGCUUGGGAUUCAAUCUGUGUUUUCAGUGACGCUUGAAGGUGAAACUCUCCCUUGUAACUAGAGAGUUACAGAUCCUUAGAGAGGCGCUUCAGUGGUUUCAUUCAGCGGUUACUGCAAAAGCUGUCCAGAUAAGAAUAUGGAAUGCUCACUCCACAACAUUGUUUGUGAAAAUCUUCAGAUUUAUUUUAUUGAACAAGGCUAUAAAAGUAUUUACAGAGGAGAGGGAAAGAGAGCACAGUGGAGAGAUGCCUUGGGAGAGAGCUGUUACUGGCCAUGGUGUCAUUCUUCUUCCACAGGGAGAAGCAGAUCCAAACUGAGAAGGGAGAAGAUGUGAUAGUUGAUAUCACAACAAGCUUGAGUUUUGAUUAAUAUCUUGGACAGGACAUUCUAUGUUCCAAAUAGAGAUUGUGUGUUACAAAGUGACUGCAGGACCAAAAAUGAGUAGCAAAUUCAUGAACCUCUUAGAUUUUUUUAAUUUAGGACAUGAUGAGAUUACUGCCAGUGACUCAACUUUUAAAAUACAAGGAAUAACUAAAUAAAUAAAGUAAAAUUGCACUUUUAAUUGUAUUUUGAAGACAUCAUGAGCUGUGAUUCAUUCACUUCAUCUCAUAGAACUUCUGCUGGUGAUAAUUAU